UACGUAGGGGGCAAGCGUUGUCCGGAAUCAUUGGGCGUAAAGAGCGUGUAGGCGGCCUGGUAAGUCCGCUGUGAAAGUCCAGGGCUCAACCCUGGAAUGCCGGUGGAAACUGUCAGGCUCGAGUCCGGAAGAGGCGAGUGGAAUUCCUGGUGUAGCGGUGAAAUGCGCAGAUAUCAGGAGGAACACCAAUGGCGAAAGCAGCUCUCUGGGGCGGUACUGACGCUGAGACGCGAAAGCGUGGGGAGCGAACAGG
RNAcentral lists this ribosomal RNA (253 nucleotides) under uncultured bacterium. RNAcentral describes it as "partial 16S ribosomal RNA". It matches the Rfam family "Bacterial small subunit ribosomal RNA", at positions 524 to 776 of the family's 1533-position model. The record is from RNAcentral.